UAGGGAAUCUUCCGCAAUGGGCGAAAGCUUGACGGAGCAACGCCGCGUGAGUGAUGAAGGUCUUCGGAUCGUAAAACUCUGUUAUUAGGGAAGAACAAAUGUGUAAGUAACUAUGCACGUCUUGACGGUACCUAAUCAGAAAGCCACGGCUAACUACGUGCCAGCAGCCGCGGUAAUACGUAGGUGGCAAGCGUUAUCCGGAAUUAUUGGGCGUAAAGCGCGCGUAGGCGGUUUUUUAAGUCUGAUGUGAAAGCCCGCGGCUCAACCGUGGAGGGUCAUUGGAAACUGGAAAACUUGAGUGCAGAAGAGGAAAGUGGAAUUCCAUGUGUAGCGGUGAAAUGCGCAGAGAUAUGGGGGAACACCAGUGGCGAAGGCGACUUUCUGGUCUGUAACUGACGCUGAUGUGCGAAAGCGUGGGGAUCAAACAGG
This 429-nucleotide ribosomal RNA is filed under the name Actinomycetes bacterium. Its description in RNAcentral is "Actinobacteria bacterium partial 16S ribosomal RNA". It matches the Rfam family "Bacterial small subunit ribosomal RNA", at positions 355 to 776 of the family's 1533-position model. The record is from RNAcentral. Lineage: Bacteria; Bacillati; Actinomycetota; Actinomycetes.